UAGUUAUGGUAUCCUGUCUGUAUUUUGC
Molecule: small RNA, 28 nt
Filed under: Bombyx mori (domestic silkworm)
Lineage: Eukaryota; Metazoa; Arthropoda; Insecta; Lepidoptera; Bombycidae
Description: ovarian small RNA-23120
Source: RNAcentral